GAGGCGGAGUCUCGCUCUUUCCCCCAGGCUGGAGUGCAGUGGCGCGAUCUCGGCUCACUGCAAGCUCCGCCUCCCGGGUUCACGCCAUUCUCCUGCCUCAGCCUCCCGAGUAGCUGGGACUACAGGCGCCUGCUGCCGCGCCCGGCUAAUUUUUUUGUAUUUUUAGUGGAGACGGGGUUUCACCGUGUUAGCCAGGAUGGUCUCGAUCUCCUGACCUCGUGAUCCGCCCGUCUCGGCCUCCCAAAGUGCUGGGAUUAUAGGCGUGAGCCACAGCGCCCGGCCAGCCGAUGUGUUGGCUUUAUAAGGGGGAGUUUCUUUGCACAAGCUGUCUCUCUUUGCCUGCCGCCAUCCACGUAGUAAAUGUGACUCAAUCCUGCUUGCCUUCCGCCAUGAUUGUAAGGCCUCCCCAGCCACAUGGAACUAUAUUACCCACCUUGCCUUUCCUUUUGCAUUUGAAGUGUUUGGAAAUACAGUCCUAGACCACAUAAUGGCGGUCUGCAUAUACAACGGUGGUCCCGUAAGAUUAUAAUGGAGCUAUUAUUGUCCCUGAAGACCUUCCAGUGACACAAAACGUGGAGGUGGAAGACACUGAUAUUGAUGAUCUUGACCCCGGGUGAAGAUGCAAUGAGAAGGCACAGUCUUUGAAGCAAGACAGAGCCCUCACGAGAUGCUGAAUCCGCUAGUGCUUUAGCAUGGGACUUUCCAACCUUCAAAAUUAAUUGGACAACUGAAACUUGAAGAGUAUCUACCAUGUUGUAAAGAUCAUGCAAGCAUAUAAUAAGAGCAAGCCUGAAUCCAGAUCAGAGUUCCACAAUUAAAAGAGAUGAAUUGCCAUUGCUCUUUGCCAAGCUUCCUGCUUUUUGGAAAUCCGACAUCAGGCAAGCUCUCUAAAUGUGUUUAGCUAUACCACGUACCAGAAGGAAAAAUAAGG
This is a long non-coding RNA of Symphalangus syndactylus (siamang), 931 nucleotides long. RefSeq lists it as uncharacterized. NCBI's taxonomy places the organism in Eukaryota, Metazoa, Chordata, Mammalia, Primates, Hylobatidae. The record is from RefSeq and is a predicted model, not a curated record.